AUGACAUAACAGUUCUAGCCCAGAAACACCUCAAAACGUAGAAUCCAACCGAGACAAACUAUUAUUUAAUCACUUCUUAAGAUGAAAAUGCACACGUAAUCUAGUAAGCUGUUUCAAAAAUCCCUACUGAAUAACUGGACCGAGUAUAUAACAAUUCCACUUCCAGGUUCAAUAUUCCCGAUAUUGCAUGAACAAUUAGACGAAUCAUUCUUCCUUCAAA
This 220-nucleotide unclassified non-coding RNA is filed under the name Hevea brasiliensis (rubber tree). The record is from RNAcentral. Lineage: Eukaryota; Viridiplantae; Streptophyta; Magnoliopsida; Malpighiales; Euphorbiaceae.